This 439-nucleotide ribosomal RNA is filed under the name uncultured Moraxella sp. RNAcentral's name for it is "bacterial SSU rRNA". It matches the Rfam family "Bacterial small subunit ribosomal RNA", at positions 65 to 504 of the family's 1533-position model. Lineage: Bacteria; Pseudomonadati; Pseudomonadota; Gammaproteobacteria; Moraxellales; Moraxellaceae. The record is from RNAcentral.
AACGAUGAAGUCUAGCUUGCUAGACGGAUUAGUGGCGAACGGGUGAGUAAUGCUUAGGAAUCUGCCUAUUAGUGGGGGAUAACGUAGGGAAACUUACGCUAAUACCGCAUACGACCUACGGGUGAAAGGGGGCUUUUAGCUCUCGCUAAUAGAUGAGCCUAAGUCGGAUUAGCUGGUUGGUGGGGUAAAGGCCUACCAAGGCGACGAUCUGUAGCUGGUCUGAGAGGAUGAUCAGCCACACUGGGACUGAGACACGGCCCAGACUCCUACGGGAGGCAGCAGUGGGGAAUAUUGGACAAUGGGCGAAAGCCUGAUCCAGCCAUGCCGCGUGUGUGAAGAAGGCCUUUUGGUUGUAAAGCACUUUAAGUGGGGAGGAAAAGCUUAUGGUUAAUACCCAUAAGCCCUGACGUUACCCACAGAAUAAGCACCGGCUAACUCU